This 244-nucleotide long non-coding RNA is filed under the name Capsicum annuum. RNAcentral describes it as "long non-coding RNA (CANN_LNC010185)". Lineage: Eukaryota; Viridiplantae; Streptophyta; Magnoliopsida; Solanales; Solanaceae. The record is from RNAcentral.
GGGCAUGUCCAUUCAAUGAACACAUCCCAUAGUUUCAGUUAUAGAAUCAAUAAUGCCAGAUACAAUCAAUUUAGCUCAGUACUACAGAUUCAGGACUGUCGGAUAUAGUCAAUCCUUAUCAAUAUAAAUAGACUUCGGGAUCACCCAUUAGAUAGGACUGAUCUUAACUAUGGUCAAUCAGUAUCAUCAUAAUUUGAUCCAGAGAUCACCCACUAGGUAGGACUGAUCUCAUAUUAAGUCAAAU